UGAAUACGAGACGCUAAGGCGUCGAAGUAGUGUAUGUCAUACUUCCAAGAAAAGCUUGCACUGUCAUAGAUAAAAAACGCCUGUACCAUAACCGACACAGGUGGGUAGGUAGAGUAUACUAAGGGGCGCGAGAUAACUCUCUCUAAGGAACUCGGCAAAAUAACUCCGUAACUUCGGGAGAAGGAGUGCCUUAUUCGUAAGGUUGCAAUAACAAGAUCCAAGCAACUGUAUAUCAAAAACACAGGUCUCCGCUAAGUCGUAGGACGAUGUAUGGGGGCUGACGCCUGCCCAGUGCCAGAAGGUUAAAGAAGUUGGUUAGCAAUUGCGAAGCUGAUAACUGAAGCCCUGGUGAACGGCGGCCGUAACGAUAACGGUCCUAAGGUAGCGAAAUUCCUUGUCGGGUAAGUUCCGACCCGCACGAAAGGCGUAAUGAUUUGGAUACUGUCUCGGAGAGGGGCUCGGUGAAAUAGACUUGUCUGUGAAGAUGCGGACUACCUGCACCAGGACAGAAAGACCCUAUGAAGCUUUACUGUAACUUGAAAUUGAAAUUGGACUUUAUUCGCGCAGUAUAGGUGGGAGGCGUUGAUUAUAAUCUUGUGGGAUUAUUGGAGCCAUCAGUGAGAUACCACUCUUGUAAUGUUAGAUUUCUAACUUUGAAUCAUCAUCUGGUCAAAGAACAGUUUCAGGCGGGCAGUUUGACUGGGGCGGUCGCCUCCUAAACGGUAACGGAGGCGUACAAAGGUUUCCUCUGAACGGUUAGAAAUCGUAUCUAGAGUGUAAAGGCAUAAGGAAGCUUGACUGUGAGACCUACAAGUCGAGCAGGGACGAAAGUCGGUCUUAGUGAUCUGACGGUACUGAGUGGAAAGGCCGUCACUCAACGGAUAAAAGUUACUCUAAGGAUAACAGGCUGAUCUCCCCCAAGAGUUCACAUCGACGGGGAGGUUUGGCACCUCGAUGUCGGCUCAUCGCAUCCUGGGGCGGUAGUACGUCCCAAGGGUUGGGCUGUUCGCCCAUGAAAGCGGUACGCGAGCUGGGUUCAGAGCGUCGUGAGACAGUUCGGUCCAUAUCCGGUGUAGGCGUUAGAAUAUUGAGAGGAGCCUUCUUUAGUACGAGAGGACCGAGAAGGACAUACCUCUGGUGUACCAGUUAUCGUGCCAACGGUAAACGCUGGGUAGCUAUGUAUGGAGUGGAUAACCGCUGAAAGCAUCUAAGUGGGAAGCCCACCUCAAGAUAAGUAUUCUCA
RNAcentral lists this ribosomal RNA (1243 nucleotides) under metagenome. RNAcentral describes it as "bacterial LSU rRNA". It matches the Rfam family "Bacterial large subunit ribosomal RNA", at positions 1564 to 2816 of the family's 2925-position model. The record is from RNAcentral.